RNAcentral lists this non-coding RNA (45 nucleotides) under Trichobilharzia regenti. Lineage: Eukaryota; Metazoa; Platyhelminthes; Trematoda; Strigeidida; Schistosomatidae. The record is from RNAcentral.
AUCCAGUGACCAGUCCCAAAUAGGACGAAAUGCAUCAUCCUGGAU